CCUACGGGGCGCAGCAGGCGCGAAAACUUUACAAUGCGGGAAACCGUGAUAAGGGGACACCGAGUGUCAGCAUCAUAUGCUGGCUGUCCAGGUGUGUAAAAUACACCUGUUAGCAAGGGCCGGGCAAGACCGGUGCCAGCCGCCGCGGUAACACCGGCGGCCCGAGUGGUGAUCGUGAUUAUUGGGUCUAAAGGGUCCGUAGCCGGUUUGGUCAGUCCUCCGGGAAAUCUGAUAGCUCAACUAUUAGGCUAUCGGGGGAUACUGCCAGGCUUGGAACCGGGAGAGGUAAGAGGUACUACAGGGGUAGGAGUGAAAUCUUGUAAUCCCUGUGGGACCACCUGUGGCGAAGGCGUCUUACCAGAACGGGUUCGACGGUGAGGGACGAAAGCUGGGGGCACGAACCGGAUUAGAUACCCGGGUAGUCCCAGCCGUAAACGAUGCUCGCUAGGUGUCAGGCAUGGCGCGACCGUGUCUGGUGCCGCAGGAAAGCCGUGAAGCGAGCCACCUGGAAGUACGGCCGCAAGGCUGAAACUUAAGGAAUUGCGGGGGAGCMCAA
Molecule: ribosomal RNA, 556 nt
Filed under: uncultured Methanosarcina sp.
Lineage: Archaea; Methanobacteriati; Methanobacteriota; Methanomicrobia; Methanosarcinales; Methanosarcinaceae
Description: bacterial SSU rRNA
Rfam family: Archaeal small subunit ribosomal RNA
Source: RNAcentral